AUGUAGUUACAUAUUGCAAAACCACAAACUCCCUAACCCUACUUCUCAUCUACCUAGACGGCAGCCCCCACCUUGCAACAUUCUCUUCGUGGAAUCCACCUGCCAUGUUCGCACCAUACUCCCACUCAACUGGGUAUGGUUGGCCAACUUGGAACGGGAAAUAUAACUAAACAUACCGAGCAAAUCAAAGGUCUGUAGGUUUGUAUCACAGGAACUUGAUGUCUGGGAUGCUGGAGUGGUCAUGGGUCGAAUUGCAUGGAAUCAUGAGGCGCGUCAAAUGGCUUUUGUACAUUUGGGUUAUGAAACUCUAAUUAACGUAUUAUGCUUCUGCU
Long non-coding RNA from Helianthus annuus (common sunflower), 332 nucleotides. RefSeq lists it as uncharacterized. Lineage: Eukaryota; Viridiplantae; Streptophyta; Magnoliopsida; Asterales; Asteraceae. The record is from RefSeq and is a predicted model, not a curated record. The transcript is spliced from 3 exons.